Molecule: ribosomal RNA, 482 nt
Filed under: uncultured bacterium
Lineage: Bacteria
Description: bacterial SSU rRNA
Rfam family: Bacterial small subunit ribosomal RNA
Source: RNAcentral
GAUGAACGCUGGCGGCAUGCCUAAUACAUGCAAGUCGAACGAGAGGAAGGAAGGCUUGCUUUUCUGAAUCUAGUGGCGAACGGGUGAGUAACACGUAGGUAACCUGCCCAUGUGCCCGGGAUAACUUCUGGAAACGGAUGCUAAAACCGGAUAGGUAGCAGACAAGCAUUUGACUGCUAUUAAAGUGGCUAAGGCCAUGAACAUGGAUGGACCUGCGGUGCAUUAGCUAGUUGGUGAGGUAACGGCCCACCAAGGCGACGAUGCAUAGCCGGCCUGAGAGGGCGGACGGCCACAUUGGGACUGAGACACGGCCCAAACUCCUACGGGAGGCAGCAGUAGGGAAUUUUCGUCAAUGGGGGGAACCUUGAACGAGCAAUGCCGCGUGAGUGAAGAAGGUCUUCGGAUCGUAAAGCUCUGUUGUAAGAGAAAAACGACAUUCAUAGGGAAUGAUGAGUGAGUGAUGGUAUCUUACCAGAAAGUCA